Molecule: ribosomal RNA, 797 nt
Filed under: uncultured sediment archaeon
Lineage: Archaea
Description: bacterial SSU rRNA
Rfam family: Archaeal small subunit ribosomal RNA
Source: RNAcentral
UCCGGUUGAUCCUGCCGGACCUGACUGCUAUCGGAUUGAUACUAAGCCAUGCGAGUCAUUGUAGCAAUACAAGGCAGACGGCUCAGUAACGCGUAGUCAACCUACCCUAUGGACGGGAAUAACCUCGGGAAACUGAGUAUAAUGCCCGAUAGAACACUAUACCUGGAAUGGUUUGUGUUUCAAAUGAUUUAUUGCCAUAGGAUGGGACUGCGGCCUAUCAGUUUGUUGGUGAGGUAAUGGCCCACCAAGACUAUUACAGGUACGGGCUCUGAGAGGAGUGGCCCGGAGAUGGGUACUGAGACACGGACCCAGGCCCUAUGGGGCGCAGCAGGCGAGAAAACUUUGCAAUGUGCGAAAGCACGACAAGGUUAAUCCGAGUGGUUUCUGCUAAAGGAACCUUUUGACAGUCCUAGAAACACUGUUGAAUAAGGGGUGGGCAAGUUCUGGUGUCAGCCGCCGCGGUAAAACCAGCACCUCAAGUGGUCAGGAUGAUUAUUGGGCCUAAAGCAUCCGUAGCCGGCUCAGUAAGUUUUCGGUUAAAUCUGUACGCUUAACGUACAGGCUGCCGGGAAUACUGCAGAGCUAGGGAGUGGGAGAGGUAGACGGUACUCGAGAGGAAGUGGUAAAAUGCUUUGAUCUUUCGAUGACCACCUGUGGCGAAGGCGGUCUACCAGAACACGUCCGACGGUGAGGGAUGAAAGCUGGGGGAGCAAACCGGAUUAGAUACCCGGGUAGUCCCAGCUGUAAACUAUGCAAACUCAGUGAUGCAUUGGCUUGUGGCCAAUGCAGUGUUGCAG